UGGAUUUGAUCUUGGUCCAGAGAGAGUGCUGGCGACGGGCCUAACACAUGCAAGUUAGACCGCCUUAAUUGAGCUGUAGCGUACUGGUGAGUAGCACGUAAAAAAUCUACCGAUAGAAAGAGGUGGAGAUACCUCAAACACUCAUUGGACCUAUGAGUCCACAAAAGAGUGUUGAAGAGCAGUGACUCGUUUAUCGAUGAGUUUACGCAAGAUUAGGUAGUUGGUAAUUGUAACAGCUUACCAAGCCUUUGAUCUUUAGUUGGUCUUAGAGGACGAUCAACCACACUGGAACUGAAAUAAGGUCCAGGCUAAUUUUUUGGCCAGCAGUGAGGAAUAUUGGACAAUGAACGAAAGUUUGAUCCAGCGAUAUUAUCUGAAUGAAGACGGCUUUUUUUAGUUGUAAAAUUCUUUCGUUAAGAAAUGAUAAUGACAUUAUUUAAAGAAGUUUAAGUCCCGGCCAAUACUCGUGCCAGCAGCCGCGGUAAUACGGGGGGGGCGAGCGUUAUCCAUCAUGACUGGGCGUAAAGGGUCUGUAGACGGUGAAGUAAGUUACUUGUUAAAUUUUAAAGCCUAACUUUAAGUCAGCUUGUAAUACUGCUUUACUUGAGUUUUAUACAGAAGAGUAGAAUUUUAUACGUAAGGGUAAAAUCUUGAAAUAUAUAAAGGAACACCAGUAGCGAAGGCGACUCUUUGGUAAAAACUGACGUUGAGAGACGAAAGUGUGGGUAGCAAACAGGAUUAGAUACCCUGGUAGUCCACACUGUAAAUUCUGAGUGCUGAAAUUUAAUGUAAACUAACUAAAAGUGAAUGGUUUUGAAUCAUUUUAUUUAAUGUUAGGUUAUUUAGAUUUUGAAGCUAACGCCAUAAGCACUCCGCCUGAGGAGUACGAUCGCAAGGUUGGAACUCAAAGGAAUUGACGGGGGCUAAUACUAGUGGUGGAGCAUGUGGUUUAAUGCGAUAAUCCGCGCAGAACCUUACCAAUUCUUGACAUAAAAGUAAAGUUUAAUUUUACGCUUUGUAAUAUAAUUAUAAUUAUGACUUUUACAGGUGUUGCACGACUGUCGUAAGCUCGUGUCGUGAGAUGUUUGGUUAAUUCCUUUAACGGGCGAAACUCUUAUCUUUA
Molecule: ribosomal RNA, 1123 nt
Filed under: marine metagenome
Description: bacterial SSU rRNA
Rfam family: Bacterial small subunit ribosomal RNA
Source: RNAcentral